This 460-nucleotide ribosomal RNA is filed under the name uncultured bacterium. RNAcentral's name for it is "partial 16S ribosomal RNA". It matches the Rfam family "Bacterial small subunit ribosomal RNA", at positions 338 to 795 of the family's 1533-position model. The record is from RNAcentral.
CCUACGGGGGGCUGCAGUGAGGAAUAUUGGUCAAUGGACGAGAGUCUGAACCAGCCAAGUAGCGUGAAGGAUGACUGCCCUAUGGGUUGUAAACUUCUUUUAUAAAGGAAUAAAAUGAGGCACGUGUGCCUUUUUGCAUGUACUUUAUGAAUAAGGACCGGCUAAUUCCGUGCCAGCAGCCGCGGUAAUACGGAGGAUCCGAGCGUUAUCCGGAUUUAUUGGGUUUAAAGGGAGCGUAGAUGGGUUGUUAAGUCAGUUGUGAAAGUUUGCGGCUCAACCGUAAAAUUGCAAUUGAUACUGGCAGUCUUGAGUACGGUUGAGGUAGGCGGAAUUCGUGGUGUAGCGGUGAAAUGCUUAGAUAUCACGAAGAACCCCGAUUGCGAAGGCAGCUUACUAACCUGUGACUGACAUUGAUGCUCGAAAGUGUGGGUAUCGAACAGGAUUAGAUACCCUUGUAGUC